AAGGGUUGGAGACUUACAAACUCACUUGCUAGAAUUCUAUGCCUUUAGGGUCAAAUUUAGCUCUAUUUUAAGCAAUUGAACCCAUGUGUAACAUAAUCCACCCUUCGGAACUACUACCAAUAUAAUCAAACAUAACUGAACCCAUGUGUAACAUAAUCCACCCUUCUGAACUGCUAACAAUAUAAUCAAACACACCACCCCAAUCAUUCACAACACAUCAAAUAAUUUGUCAAUACAUACGUCUUCC
RNAcentral lists this long non-coding RNA (247 nucleotides) under Lathyrus oleraceus (garden pea). Its description in RNAcentral is "Pisum sativum (pea) long non-coding RNA (PSAT_LNC005339)". The record is from RNAcentral. Lineage: Eukaryota; Viridiplantae; Streptophyta; Magnoliopsida; Fabales; Fabaceae.